AAGUCGUAACAAGGUUUCCGUAGGUGAACCUGUGGAAGGAUCAUUAGUGAAUUAUAGGGCGUCUACUUCGGUAGGGCCUGACCUCCACUUUCUAACUCUGUGCACUCAUUUGGCGGAAAAGAGGAAUAGUGAUUGUCUCGCGACGAUUAGGACUUCCUUCUUUCUGCGGCUUACUUUAAACACCAGUCAAAGUAUGUAACGAAAUAUCGAAACAAAAGAAAACUUUCAACAACGGAUCUCUUGGCUCUCGCAUCGAUGAAGAACGCAGCGAAAUGUGAUAAGUAAUGUGAAUUGCAGAAUUCAGUGAAUCAUCGAAUCUUUGAACGCACCUUGCGCUCCCUAGUAUUCUGGGGAGCAUGUCUGCUUGAGUGUCAUGAACUCUUCAACCCACCGGUUUCUUGUAGACUGNNNGGUGUUUNNNNNNUGAACGUUGCUGGUCUUCGGACGUAGCUCGUUCGUAAUAUAUUAGCAUCUCUAAUUCGAAUUCGGANUGACUCAGUGNAAUAGACUAUUCGCUGAGGACACUUUUAUUAGUGGCCGAACUAGAUCAUUGUAGAAGCUUCGAACCUCUAUAGUCAACUUUAGAUUAGACCUCAGAUCAGGCAGGAUUACCCGCUGAACUUAAGCAUAUCAAUAAGCGGAGGAAAAGAAACUAACAAGGAUUCCCCUAGUAACGGCGAGUGAAGCGGGAAGAGCUCAAAUUUGUAAUCUGGCACCUUCGGUGUNCGAGUUGUAAUCUCGAGAAGNNNNNNNGCGCCGGACCGCAUACAAGUCUGUUGGAAUACAGCGUCAUAGUGGUGAGAGCCCCGCAACUGAUGUGGAUGCCCGGUGCUUUGUGAUACACUUUCGAAGAGUCGAGUUGUUUGGGAAUGCAGCUCAAAUUGGGUGGUAAAUUCCAUCUAAAGCUAAAUAUUGGCGAGAGACCGAUAGCGAACAAGUACCGUGAGGGAAAGAUGAAAAGCACUUUGGAAAGAGAGUUAACAGUACGUGAAAUUGUUGGAAGGGAAACGCUUGAAGUCAGACUUGCUAUUCGGAAUUCAGCCGCAAGGUGUACUUUUCGAUUUGCAGGCCAGCAUCAGUUUUUGGGGAUGGAAAAGGGCUGGAGGAAGGUAGCAAUUUAGGUUGUGUUAUAGCCUUCAGCUGGAUUCAUCUUUGGGGACUGAGGAACGCAGCGCGCUUUUUGCAAGGCUCUCGAGCUUUUCGCGCUUAGGAUGCUGGUGGAAUGGCUUUAAACGACC
This 1238-nucleotide ribosomal RNA is filed under the name uncultured fungus. Its description in RNAcentral is "eukaryotic LSU rRNA". The stretch from base 589 to 1238 matches the Rfam family "Eukaryotic large subunit ribosomal RNA", at positions 1 to 649 of the family's 3401-position model. The record is from RNAcentral. Lineage: Eukaryota; Fungi.